RNAcentral lists this ribosomal RNA (253 nucleotides) under uncultured bacterium. RNAcentral describes it as "partial 16S ribosomal RNA". It matches the Rfam family "Bacterial small subunit ribosomal RNA", at positions 524 to 776 of the family's 1533-position model. The record is from RNAcentral.
UACGUAGGGCGCAAGCGUUGUCCGGAAUUAUUGGGCGUAAAGAGCUCGUAGGUGGCGUGUCGCGUCUGCCGUGAAAGCCCAUGGCUUAACUGUGGGUCUGCGGUGGAUACGGGCAGGCUGGAGGCUGGUAGGGGCAAGCGGAAUUCCUGGUGUAGCGGUGAAAUGCGCAGAUAUCAGGAGGAACACCGGUGGCGAAGGCGGAUCUCUGGGCCUUACCUGACGCUCAGGCGCGAAAGCUAGGGGAGCGAACAGG